GUUGCCAGCGAUUCGGUCGGGAACUCAAAGGAGACUGCCAGUGAUAAACUGGAGGAAGGUGGGGAUGACGUCAAGUCAUCAUGGCCCUUACGACCAGGGCUACACACGUGCUACAAUGGCGCAUACAAAGAGAAGCGACCUCGCGAGAGCAAGCGGACCUCAUAAAGUGCGUCGUAGUCCGGAUUGGAGUCUGCAACUCGACUCCAUGAAGUCGGAAUCGCUAGUAAUCGUGGAUCAGAAUGCCACGGUGAAUACGUUCCCGGGCCUUGUACACACCGCCCGUCACACCAUGGGAGUGGGUUGCAAAAGAAGUAGGUAGCUUAACCUUCGGGAGGGCGCUUACCACUUUGUGAUUCAUGACUGGGGUGAAGUCGUAACAAGGUAACCGUAGGGGAACCUGC
Molecule: ribosomal RNA, 401 nt
Filed under: Salmonella enterica subsp. enterica serovar Oranienburg
Lineage: Bacteria; Pseudomonadati; Pseudomonadota; Gammaproteobacteria; Enterobacterales; Enterobacteriaceae
Also listed under: 2 other names
Description: partial 16S ribosomal RNA
Rfam family: Bacterial small subunit ribosomal RNA
Source: RNAcentral